AAAGGGAGACUUAAUUCGGGUAUGGGAUGAAAAAAAAGUAGUCCCAACCAAGAAUCAAUCCCAAAAGGUCGGAGCGAGGCGAAAUUGGCUUUCAAACUAGGUUCUGGGUUCACAGAAGACCUGAAUCAGGAACAAGGGCUAUUAGCUCAGGUGGUUAGAGCGCACCCCUGAUAAGGGUGAGGUCCCUGGUUCGAGUCCAGGAUGGCCCACCUGCACAGGUGGUAAAAACAAGAGAAGCGAGGAAUCAGCACCUUAUCUUACUUACAUAGUAAGAGAGAAUGCUGGCUCUGAGUAAAGAGUCCAGAGGAACCUUGAAAACUGCAUAGAGCUAGGUGAAAAAGCCAAAAAAGAAGACCGCAAG
RNAcentral lists this transfer RNA (361 nucleotides) under uncultured Microcystis sp. RNAcentral describes it as "partial 16S-23S ribosomal RNA intergenic spacer". The stretch from base 136 to 209 matches the Rfam family "tRNA". Lineage: Bacteria; Bacillati; Cyanobacteriota; Cyanophyceae; Chroococcales; Microcystaceae. The record is from RNAcentral.